GCCAGCCCGCUCAGAAACUCAAAGGAAGUUGACGGGGCCCGCACAAGCGGUGGAGUAUGUGGUUUAAUUCGAUGCAACGCGAAGAACCUUACCUGGUCUUGACAUCCCGGAGACCCUUAGGAAACUAGGGGGUGCUUCCAUCUGGAAGAAUCUGGAGACAGGUGCUGCAUGGCUGUCGUCAGCUCGUGUCGUGAGAUGUUGGGUUAAGUCCCGCAACGAGCGCAACCCUUGCCUUUAGUUGCCAGCAGUUCGGCUGGGCACUCUAAAGGGACUGCCGGUGUUAAACCGGAGGAAGGUGGGGAUGACGUCAAGUCCUCAUGGCCUUUAUGACCAGGGCUACACACGUACUACAAUGGCCGAUACAAAGGGCAGCGACACUGCGAGGUGAAGCCAAUCCCGUAAAAUCGGUCUCAGCCCGGAUUGGAGUCUGCAACUCGACUCCAUGAAGUUGGAAUCGCUAGUAAUCGUGGAUCAGCAUGCCACGGUGAAUACGUUCCCGGGCCUU
RNAcentral lists this ribosomal RNA (505 nucleotides) under uncultured Desulfobulbus sp. RNAcentral's name for it is "bacterial SSU rRNA". It matches the Rfam family "Bacterial small subunit ribosomal RNA", at positions 885 to 1382 of the family's 1533-position model. The record is from RNAcentral. Lineage: Bacteria; Pseudomonadati; Thermodesulfobacteriota; Desulfobulbia; Desulfobulbales; Desulfobulbaceae.